Molecule: transfer RNA, 66 nt
Filed under: Chthamalus malayensis
Lineage: Eukaryota; Metazoa; Arthropoda; Thecostraca; Balanomorpha; Chthamalidae
Description: tRNA-Val
Source: RNAcentral
UGAGAACAAGCUAUUUAGCAUUUCAGUUACAUUGAAAAGAUACUUGAAAUAAAUCAAGGUUCUUAA